This 606-nucleotide ribosomal RNA is filed under the name uncultured bacterium. Its description in RNAcentral is "bacterial SSU rRNA". The stretch from base 1 to 518 matches the Rfam family "Bacterial small subunit ribosomal RNA", at positions 338 to 873 of the family's 1533-position model. The record is from RNAcentral.
CCUACGGGAGGCAGCAGUGGGGAAUCUUGCGCAAUGGGCGAAAGCCUGACGCAGCCAUGCCGCGUGAAUGAUGAAGGUCUUAGGAUUGUAAAAUUCUUUCACCGGGGACGAUAAUGACGGUACCCGGAGAAGAAGCCCCGGCUAACUUCGUGCCGGCAGCCGCGGUAAUACGAAGGGGGCUAGCGUUGCUCGGAAUUACUGGGCGUAAAGGGAGCGUAGGCGGAUAGUUUAGUCAGAGGUGAAAGCCCAGGGCUCAACCCUGGAAUUGCCUUUGAUACUGGCUAUCUUGAGUACGGAAGAGGUAUGUGGAACUCCGAGUGUAGAGGUGAAAUUCGUAGAUAUUCGGAAGAACACCAGUGGCGAAGGCGACAUACUGGUCCGUUACUGACGCUGAGGCUCGAAAGCGUGGGGAGCAAACAGGAUUAGAUACCCUGGUAGUCCACGCUGUAAACGAUGAGUGCUAGUUGUCGGCAUGCAUGCAUGUCGGUGACGCAGCUACGACAUUAAGACACUCCGCCGUCGGGGAGGUACGGUCGCGAGAAUUAAACUACAAAUAGAAGUUAGUACGGCGUGAGACGUGCCGACGGACGACGACGAGGGAGGAGG